GUGGGGAAUAUUGGACAAUGGGCGAAAGCCUGAUCCAGCCAUGCCGCGUGUGUGAAGAAGGUCUUCGGAUUGUAAAGCACUUUAAGUUGGGAGGAAGGGCAGUAAGCUAAUACCUUGCUGUUUUGACGUUACCGACAGAAUAAGCACCGGCUAACUUCGUGCCAGCAGCCGCGGUAAUACGAAGGGUGCAAGCGUUAAUCGGAAUUACUGGGCGUAAAGCGCGCGUAGGUGGUUUUGUAAGUUGGAGGUGAAAUCCCCGGGCUCAACCUGGGAACUGCCUCCAAAACUGCAUGACUAGAGUACGGUAGAGGGUAGUGGAAUUUCCUGUGUAGCGGUGAAAUGCGUAGAUAUAGGAAGGAACACCAGUGGCGAAGGCGACUACCUGGACUGAUACUGACACUGAGGUGCGAAAGCGUGGGGAGCAAACAGGAUUAGAAACCCGGGUAGUCC
Molecule: ribosomal RNA, 450 nt
Filed under: uncultured bacterium
Lineage: Bacteria
Description: bacterial SSU rRNA
Rfam family: Bacterial small subunit ribosomal RNA
Source: RNAcentral